This 269-nucleotide unclassified non-coding RNA is filed under the name plant metagenome. RNAcentral's name for it is "partial contains small subunit ribosomal RNA, internal transcribed spacer 1, and 5.8S ribosomal RNA". The record is from RNAcentral.
UUUCCGUAAGUGAACCUGCGGAAGGAUCAUUAAUGAGUUGUCAUGGGGUUCGAUGCUGGCAGCCAAUUUUUGGAUGCAUGUGCUUGCCCUAACAAUCAUCUUCCAAACACCUGUGCACAUUUUUGAGGGAGUCUUGAGUUGGUUGCCGCUCUUGGGUGAUUUUCUCACAUUCCCUUAAAUCAUUAUACGCUAUUAACAAUGUUGAACGUGCUCUGUGCCGCAAGGCUAUUAAUAUAAUACAACUUUUAACAACGGAUCUCUUGGCUCUC